GAUGAACGCUGACAGAAUGCUUAACACAUGCAAGUCUACUUGAAUUCACUUCGGUGAUAGUAAGGUGGCGGACGGGUGAGUAACACGUAAAGAACUUGCCUUACAGUCUGGGACAACUAUUGGAAACGAUAGCUAAUACCGGAUAUUAUGCGAGAGUCGCAUGACUCUUGUAUGAAAGCUAUACGCGCUGUAAGAGAGCUUUGCGUCCCAUUAGCUAGUUGGUGAGGUAACGGCUCACCAAGGCCACGAUGGGUAGCCGGCCUGAGAGGGUGAACGGCCACAAGGGGACUAAGACACGGCCCUUACUCCUACGGGAGGCAGCAGUGGGGAAUAUUGGACAAUGGACCAAAAGUCUGAUCCAGCAAUUCUGUGUGCACGAUGACGGUCUUAGGAUUGUAAAGUGCUUUCAAUUGGGAAGAAAAAAAUGACGGUACCAAUAGAAGAGGCGACGGCUAAAUACGUGCCAGCAGCCGCGGUAAUACGUAUGUCGCAAGCGUUAUCCGGAUUUAUUGGGCGUAAAGCGCGUCUAGGUGGUUUGGUAAGUCUGAUGUGAAAAUGCGGGGCUCAACUCCGUAUUGCGUUGGAAACUGCCUAACUAGAGUAUCGGAGAGGUGGGCGGAACUACAAGUGUAGAGGUGAAAUUCGUAGAUAUUUGUAGGAAUGCCGAUAGAGAAGUCAGCUCACUGGACGAAUACUGACACUGAAGCGCGAAAGCAUGGGGAGCAAACAGGAUUAGAUACCCUGGUAGUCCAUGCUGUAAACGAUGAUUACUAAGCGUCGGGGGUCGAACCUCGGCACUCAAGCUAACGCGAUAAGUAAUCCGCCUGGGGGAGUACGUACGCAAGUAUGAAAACUCAAAGGAAUUGACGGGGACCCGCACAAGUGGUGGAGCAUGUGGUUUAAUUCGACGCAACGCGAGGAACCUUACCAGCGUUUGACAUCCCUAGGAAUGAGAAAGAGAUUCCUUAGUGCUCCUUCGGGAGAACCUAGAGACAGGUGGUGCAUGGCUGUCGUCAGCUCGUGUCGUGAGAUGUUGGGUUAAGUCCCGCAACGAGCGCAACCCCUAUUGUAUGUUGCCAUCAUUAAGUUGGGCACUCAUGCGAUACUGCCUGCGAUGAGCAGGAGGAAGGUGGGGAUGACGUCAAGUCAUCAUGCCCCUUAUACGCUGGGCUACACACGCGCUACAAUGGGCAGUACAGAGAGAAGCAAAUCUGCGAGGAGGAGCAAAUCUCACAAAGCUGUUCGUAGUUCGGAUUGUACUCUGCAACUCGAGUACAUGAAGUUGGAAUCACUAGUAAUCGCAAAUCAGCUAUGUUGCGGUGAAUACGUUCUCGGGUCU
RNAcentral lists this ribosomal RNA (1339 nucleotides) under uncultured bacterium. RNAcentral describes it as "bacterial SSU rRNA". It matches the Rfam family "Bacterial small subunit ribosomal RNA", at positions 28 to 1381 of the family's 1533-position model. The record is from RNAcentral.